UGUCUCUCUCUCCCCGUGUCUCUCUCUCCCAGGGGCUGCACUGUGUUCUGGACACCGCUCCCUCUGUCGUUGAGCGACUUCACAGAGCUCAGAUUUAUCCAAUCGUCGUCUUCCUCCGCUACAAAUCCCACAAGCACGUACGUGAAGUGAGGGAGGCAUCUGCUCCUCACCCCACGCGUGGCGGUGAGCGCGGUGAGCGUGGUGAGCGUGGUGAGCGAGUCAGCCUCAAGCUCUGCAAGGAGCAGUUCGACUGCGGUACUCGCACGGAGCACGAGUUCUCUCGCUUCUUCACAGCCGUGCUACACGGAGCGCCAGUCUCCGUGCUGUGCUCCCAGGUCGAUGACCUGGUCACCGAGGAGCAAAGGAAAGUGCUGUGGAUCCCAGCGUCAGCCUCCUGAACCACACAAUCACACGCUGAGUUUACACUACACACUACACUACACACACUGACUAGACACUACACACUACACUACACACACUACACUACACUAACUAGACACUACUCACUACACUAUACUCACUACA
This is a non-coding RNA of Petromyzon marinus (sea lamprey), 525 nucleotides long. Lineage: Eukaryota; Metazoa; Chordata; Hyperoartia; Petromyzontiformes; Petromyzontidae. The record is from RefSeq and is a predicted model, not a curated record.